Molecule: ribosomal RNA, 253 nt
Filed under: uncultured bacterium
Lineage: Bacteria
Description: partial 16S ribosomal RNA
Rfam family: Bacterial small subunit ribosomal RNA
Source: RNAcentral
UACGGAGGGGGCUAGCGUUGUUCGGAAUUACUGGGCGUAAAGCGCACGUAGGCGGCUUUGUAAGUUAGAGGUGAAAGCCCAGGGCUUAACCCUGGAAUUGCCUUUAAGACUGCAUCGCUAGAAUUGUGGAGAGGUAAGUGGAAUUCCGAGUGUAGAGGUGAAAUUCGUAGAUAUUCGGAAGAACACCAGUGGCGAAGGCGACUUACUGGACACAUAUUGACGCUGAGGUGCGAAAGCGUGGGGAGCAAAUAGG